AAGUCGUAACAAGGUUUCCGUAGGUGAACCUGCGGAAGGAUCAUUAACACAAAAAACAAUCCCAUAUCCACCCCUUUUUUAUAACGAACUAUGGUUUUUCUUUUUUUUCGGAUUCGGAGCUCUCUCUACUUAUCGCCAAGAUAAGGACAGAGACGACGGACGGAAAAAGAAACUCUCAUUUUCUCCUCUUUAUUACCCUCUUAUUUUUACCCCAAAACAACCAAUACCAAACAUGCGAUAGACUGAUAUUUAUUUAUCAACGAUAUAAUAAUCAAUGAUACAUAAAACAACUCUUAGCAACGGAUAUCUUGGCUCUC
This 317-nucleotide unclassified non-coding RNA is filed under the name fungal sp. Its description in RNAcentral is "partial internal transcribed spacer region". The stretch from base 1 to 46 matches the Rfam family "Eukaryotic small subunit ribosomal RNA", at positions 1786 to 1831 of the family's 1831-position model. Lineage: Eukaryota; Fungi. The record is from RNAcentral.